This 283-nucleotide ribosomal RNA is filed under the name uncultured bacterium. RNAcentral describes it as "partial 16S ribosomal RNA". It matches the Rfam family "Bacterial small subunit ribosomal RNA", at positions 123 to 406 of the family's 1533-position model. The record is from RNAcentral.
AACGUGCCCAAUCGUGGGGGAUAACGUAGCGAAAGCUACGCUAAUACCGUAUACGAUCUACGGAUGAAAGCAGGGGAUUCGCAAGAACCUUGCGCGAAUGGAGCGGCCGAUGGCAGAUUAGGUAGUUGGUGGGGUAAAGGCUCACCAAGCCUUCGAUCUGUAGCUGGUCUGAGAGGACAACCAGCCACACUGGGACUGAGACACGGCCCAGACUCCUACGGGAGGCAGCAGUGGGGAAUUUUGGACAAUGGGCGCAAGCCUGAUCCAGCCAUUCCGCGUGCAG